This 101-nucleotide non-coding RNA is filed under the name Lysinibacillus contaminans. RNAcentral's name for it is "c-di-GMP sequence". It matches the Rfam family "c-di-GMP-I riboswitch aptamer". Rfam says of the family: GEMM was predicted in a large-scale screen for bacterial structured RNA regulatory elements. Genes associated with GEMM are involved in a diverse array of functions, including chemotaxis regulation, signal transduction, secretion and chitin. The record is from RNAcentral. Lineage: Bacteria; Bacillati; Bacillota; Bacilli; Caryophanales; Bacillaceae.
AAAAGACAAAGGCGAACUAUCCGAAGUGUGGGGCGCAAAGCCUAGGGUCUAAGGCGAGAAGAUUUUAUGAAUCUCCACGUUAUGAUAGCCUGGUUACCGGA